RNAcentral lists this ribosomal RNA (275 nucleotides) under unidentified marine bacterioplankton. Its description in RNAcentral is "partial 16S ribosomal RNA". It matches the Rfam family "Bacterial small subunit ribosomal RNA", at positions 65 to 339 of the family's 1533-position model. The record is from RNAcentral. RNAcentral also lists the same sequence under 1 other name.
AGGGGUAACAGGGAAGCUUGCUUCCUCUGACGACCGGCGCACGGGUGCGUAACGCGUAUACAAUCUACCUUUUGCUACGGGAUAGCCCAGAGAAAUUUGGAUUAACACCGUAUAGAAUUACAACAUGGCAUCAUGAAAUAAUUAAAGGAUACGGCAAGAGAUGAGUAUGCGUCCUAUUAGCUAGUUGGUGUGGUAACGGCACACCAAGGCAACGAUAGGUAGGGGUCCUGAGAGGGAGAUCCCCCACACUGGUACUGAGACACGGACCAGACUCC